This 217-nucleotide ribosomal RNA is filed under the name Pheidole cardinalis. Its description in RNAcentral is "partial large subunit ribosomal RNA". The record is from RNAcentral. Lineage: Eukaryota; Metazoa; Arthropoda; Insecta; Hymenoptera; Formicidae.
GAAUUUUAUAUAGAUUUGGUAAAAAAUUUAGUUUGAAAAUUAUUAUGUCUAUAUUUUAUUGGGAGGAUGAUUAAAUUAAAUAAACUUUAAAAUAUAUAAACCAUUAAUUUAUGAAUUAGAAUGUAAAGAAUGAUUAGAAUAAAUUUAAGAAGAAUUAAUUACCUUAGGGAUAACAGCGUUAUAUUUUUAGAGAGAUCUUAUUAAUAAAAAUGGUUGC